This 279-nucleotide unclassified non-coding RNA is filed under the name plant metagenome. Its description in RNAcentral is "partial contains small subunit ribosomal RNA, internal transcribed spacer 1, and 5.8S ribosomal RNA". The record is from RNAcentral.
UUUCCGUAGGUGAACCUGCGGAAGGAUCAUUAUCGUAAAACCGAGGUGCGAGGGCUGUCGCUGACCCGUACGGUCGUGCACGCCCGAGUGCCCUCACACAAACCCACCUCCCCCCUAUGCACCCCACCGUGGGGGCCCCCCUUGCUCGUGUGGGGGGGGGGUCGUGCGUUUUCACACAAUCUUAGUAGUGUGUGAAGUAUGUUUUUUUUGUUUUUGCGAACACACAAACAAUACAACUAUCAACAUCUGAGCUCUUGGCUCUCAGAACGAUGAAGAACG